GUGUCAGCAGCCGCGGUAAUACGUAGGGCGCAAGCGUUGUCCGGAAUUAUUGGGCGUAAAGAGCUCGUAGGCGGCUUGUCACGUCGGGUGUGAAAGCCCGGGGCUUAACCCCGGGUCUGCAUUCGAUACGGGCUAGCUAGAGUGUGGUAGGGGAGAUCGGAAUUCCUGGUGUAGCGGUGAAAUGCGCAGAUAUCAGGAGGAACACCGGUGGCGAAGGCGGAUCUCUGGGCCAUUACUGACGCUGAGGAGCGAAAGCGUGGGGAGCGAACAGGAUUAGAAACCCUUGUAGUCC
Molecule: ribosomal RNA, 292 nt
Filed under: uncultured bacterium
Lineage: Bacteria
Description: partial 16S ribosomal RNA
Rfam family: Bacterial small subunit ribosomal RNA
Source: RNAcentral